RNAcentral lists this non-coding RNA (29 nucleotides) under Mus musculus (house mouse). Lineage: Eukaryota; Metazoa; Chordata; Mammalia; Rodentia; Muridae. The record is from RNAcentral.
UGAGGUCAUGUUGUUCUUUGAAGCAGUGG